This 532-nucleotide long non-coding RNA is filed under the name Helianthus annuus (common sunflower). The record is from RNAcentral. Lineage: Eukaryota; Viridiplantae; Streptophyta; Magnoliopsida; Asterales; Asteraceae.
AGAAACCCUAAGUAUCUCCCACCGCCCUCUUCUCCGUCUUUCCGUCGCUCCUGCAUCCGCUCCGACGCCUCCUUCACCCUCCUCAACAACGCCUCCACCUGACCACCUCUUGCUUCCUCACUCAAUUGAUAGGCGAUGAUGACGACAGAGAUGGCGUACGCGGUGUUGUCCCCUUCGCGGACUACGGUGGUUUGACGGUGGUGUUCUCCUUUCGCUUAUCUGUCUUCUAAAUUCUUCACUGUCAAUUCUUUACUCUAGCUUCUAAGGUACCCCAAGAACCGUUUGCGACUCUUUUUGUUAACUGUGAGCAGUUUGAUGCUGAACUCAGAGACGAAUGAGAUGCUUGCUUUGAAGAAGAGUGCGUAUGCUUUCGAUAAUUGUGUGGAUGCGAAGCGGACGCUUCAUGAGAUUAAGCUUCUUCCAUAUUUGCAUCAUGAGAAUGUGAGUUUUGCUUUGAUGUGAACAUGUUUGUUUAAUAGAUUUAUGCAGGAUUGUAGAUCUUUUUAUCAAAUGUGAAUUAGUAACCCAUGUU